Long non-coding RNA from Lycium ferocissimum, 581 nucleotides. RefSeq lists it as uncharacterized. The record is from RefSeq and is a predicted model, not a curated record. Lineage: Eukaryota; Viridiplantae; Streptophyta; Magnoliopsida; Solanales; Solanaceae. The transcript has 2 exons.
UGAGGAUAAGGAUGACUAGGAUCCUAAAAUAUCUUUUAAAAAUAUUUGCUCAUAUUAGCUUAUCUAUUCUAACUAAUGAUUUUCAAAUUUGAAUUGGAAAGAAGUUAAAACUCUUAAGAUUUUAUAUAUAUUCCCCAGUAACACAUAAACAUUAACACAUAAACAUCAGGUUUUGGUUAAUAAAAACUAUCAAAUGGCGAAAAAGAUGAUUUGCAAGUUCAACAUAUGAUGCAACAGGAAGAAAAAGUUCAAGCAUGGAAAUAGAAGAAACCAAAGCCAAAUAUUUCAUGAGCCUCGGAAAUAUGAUCAUUGAAUUAUUUGAAAAACUUCAAUGAUGAACGGUUGCAGUUGGAGGAAUUGAACUUUCGUAGGUCGGUCUUUUCUUUAUAGAUAUGACAGCCAAACAAUGUCAAAUUUUUUUACAUGUACAUAUAAACUAAAACAAAAGGUUUGUUUUUUUAUCCUUCUAAAUCUCUUGCACAUGCUUCUCUUUUAUGUUUUGUUAUUCGCCACUUUCUUUUUGUCAGAUGGAUAAUUUGAUGAGUAUCUCAAAUUAGUAAAACAAUCUAGAGUUGUAUUUA